This 194-nucleotide ribosomal RNA is filed under the name uncultured bacterium. RNAcentral's name for it is "partial 16S ribosomal RNA". It matches the Rfam family "Bacterial small subunit ribosomal RNA", at positions 338 to 524 of the family's 1533-position model. The record is from RNAcentral.
CCUACGGGAGGCAGCAGUAGGGAAUCUUCCACAAUGGACGAAAGUCUGAUGGAGCAACGCCGCGUGAGUGAAGAAGGUUCUCGGAUUGUAAAACUCUGUUGUGAGGGAAGAACAAGUAUCGGAGUAACUGCCGGUACCUUGACGGUACCUCAUUAGAAAGCCACGGCUAACUACGUGCCAGCAGCCGCGGUAAU